RNAcentral lists this ribosomal RNA (1486 nucleotides) under Microbacterium sp. 401P5-1. RNAcentral describes it as "bacterial SSU rRNA". It matches the Rfam family "Bacterial small subunit ribosomal RNA". The record is from RNAcentral. Lineage: Bacteria; Bacillati; Actinomycetota; Actinomycetes; Micrococcales; Microbacteriaceae.
AGAGUUUGAUCCUGGCUCAGGAUGAACGCUGGCGGCGUGCUUAACACAUGCAAGUCGAACGGUGAAGCCCAGCUUGCUGGGUGGAUCAGUGGCGAACGGGUGAGUAACACGUGAGCAAUCUGCCCCUGACUCUGGGAUAAGCGCUGGAAACGGCGUCUAAUACUGGAUAUGAACCGUGGAGGCAUCUUCAACGGUUGGAAAGAUUUUUUGGUCAGGGAUGAGCUCGCGGCCUAUCAGCUUGUUGGUGAGGUAAUGGCUCACCAAGGCGUCGACGGGUAGCCGGCCUGAGAGGGUGACCGGCCACACUGGGACUGAGACACGGCCCAGACUCCUACGGGAGGCAGCAGUGGGGAAUAUUGCACAAUGGGCGCAAGCCUGAUGCAGCAACGCCGCGUGAGGGAUGACGGCCUUCGGGUUGUAAACCUCUUUUAGCAGGGAAGAAGCGAAAGUGACGGUACCUGCAGAAAAAGCGCCGGCUAACUACGUGCCAGCAGCCGCGGUAAUACGUAGGGCGCAAGCGUUAUCCGGAAUUAUUGGGCGUAAAGAGCUCGUAGGCGGUUUGUCGCGUCUGCUGUGAAAUCCCGAGGCUCAACCUCGGGUCUGCAGUGGGUACGGGCAGACUAGAGUGCGGUAGGGGGAGAUUGGAAUUCCUGGUGUAGCGGUGGAAUGCGCAGAUAUCAGGAGGAACACCGAUGGCGAAGGCAGAUCUCUGGGCCGUAACUGACGCUGAGGAGCGAAAGGGUGGGGAGCAAACAGGCUUAGAUACCCUGGUAGUCCACCCCGUAAACGUUGGGAACUAGGUUGUGGGGUCCAUUCCACGGAUUCCGUGACGCAGCUAACGCAUUAAGUUCCCCGCCUGGGGAGUACGGCCGCAAGGCUAAAACUCAAAGGAAUUGACGGGGACCCGCACAAGCGGCGGAGCAUGCGGAUUAAUUCGAUGCAACGCGAAGAACCUUACCAGGGCUUGACAUAUACGAGAACGCUGCAGAAAUGUAGAACUCUUUGGACACUCGUAAACAGGUGGUGCAUGGUUGUCGUCAGCUCGUGUCGUGAGAUGUUGGGUUAAGUCCCGCAACGAGCGCAACCCUCGUUCUAUGUUGCCAGCACGUAAUGGUGGGAACUCAUGGGAUACUGCCGGGGUCAACUCGGAGGAAGGUGGGGAUGACGUCAAAUCAUCAUGCCCCUUAUGUCUUGGGCUUCACGCAUGCUACAAUGGCCGGUACAAAGGGCUGCAAUACCGUAAGGUGGAGCGAAUCCCAAAAAGCCGGUCCCAGUUCGGAUUGAGGUCUGCAACUCGACCUCAUGAAGUCGGAGUCGCUAGUAAUCGCAGAUCAGCAACGCUGCGGUGAAUACGUUCCCGGGUCUUGUACACACCGCCCGUCAAGUCAUGAAAGUCGGUAACACCUGAAGCCGGUGGCCCAACCCUUGUGGAGGGAGCCGUCGAAGGUGGGAUCGGUAAUUAGGACUAAGUCGUAACAAGGUAACC